This 501-nucleotide unclassified non-coding RNA is filed under the name Hevea brasiliensis (rubber tree). Lineage: Eukaryota; Viridiplantae; Streptophyta; Magnoliopsida; Malpighiales; Euphorbiaceae. The record is from RNAcentral.
GGGGUCACCUGCAGCCAUAACUCUGAUCAGUUUUAUGAACUCUUGCUCACUUGACACUUUCCAUGGGUGAAUUGCAGGUGCCUCAGCUGAAUAGAAUGUCGUUAAAUUGCCAGGAGACUUCUUCUUGUAAAUCAUCGAAUUCAAUACUGAAUCGAAAUUCUGUGGAGAAUCCAUAGCCGUAAAAAACAUUGGCAUUGCAACCUUGUGAUGCACGUCUAGAUUCCCUACUAGAUUAAUGAGGUCGACAAAGUCGGAUACAAAACGACGGGGUAUGUAGAAUAUCUCCGAACUGCAUAUCGUCAAGGUCUCGUCACUUCUCAUUGUCUCUUUGUAAUUGACUUGCAAAUGUACCGGCAUUGUUGCUACCACUUUCUUAACAACGUCAGCUUGCUUCACAAACCAGUCCGAUUUGUUAGCUACUGGAACAGCGUGCCAUGACUUGGAUACCUUGUUUCCUAUCCAGAGCUUUGACUUAUCUGCUUGAAGUAAGUUCCAGUAAUU